AUGUAAUUGAAUGAUAAACUAUAUUAUAAAAUCUUUUUUUUGCUCAAUUCAAUUUAUUUCUUCUUCAGCAUUUCAAAGGUCUCUUAAUCGAAGGUACCCUAAUAUUUUAUAGGAUAAUUAACAGUAAAUGCUUGCAUUUAUUAGAAGCCAUGGAUCCAUAAUACUUAUAACCAUAUGUUAUAUUUGGUUUAGAUUUGUAGUUAUCUAAAUUGGAGUUAAAUCCUAAUCCUAAUUGGGAUUGGAUAUAAUUUAGAUUUAAUUUGGCAUAUAUGGAUUAUGAGUCAGAAUCUAAUUUCUAAUUGAAUUAGGAUUAGACUCUAUUUAGGAGACAUGUAUUAUAAAUAUAUGCUACGG
RNAcentral lists this long non-coding RNA (354 nucleotides) under Ananas comosus (pineapple). RNAcentral describes it as "long non-coding RNA (ACOM_LNC044289)". The record is from RNAcentral. Lineage: Eukaryota; Viridiplantae; Streptophyta; Magnoliopsida; Poales; Bromeliaceae.